AGAAAUUCCAUAUCAUAUCAGAGAUGCAAUGUGGAAUCAGUUUAGGACUAAGUGUGUGUGGGAGCAACGAUAUGACAAUGAAAUAAAAGAUGUCUUUGUGAAGAAA
This is a non-coding RNA of Nicotiana tabacum (common tobacco), 106 nucleotides long. The record is from RefSeq and is a predicted model, not a curated record. Lineage: Eukaryota; Viridiplantae; Streptophyta; Magnoliopsida; Solanales; Solanaceae.